AAACUUGUUCCUCCCUUGCUCUUUUCCUCGCACUCAACCUCCUCUCCUUUUCACUUGUCUCUGCAUGCGGUAGUUAUUCAUGCCCUAGUCCAAAGCCAAAGCCAAAGGCCAACCCCAACCCUAGUCCUUCGGGUUCAUCGUGCCCCCGUGACGCACUCAAGCUAGGUGUAUGUGCCAACGUGCUAAAAGGGUUGUUGAACGUGACUUUGGGUCAACCACCAGUAACCCCUUGCUGCUCCCUUCUCGAUGGGCUCGUUGACCUUGAGGCUGCAGUGUGCCUUUGCACUGCUCUCAAAGCAAACGUUUUGGGCAUCAACCUCAACCUUCCACUCUCACUCAGCUUACUUCUCAAUGUUUGCUCAAGGAAAGUUCCCCGUGAUUUCCAAUGUGCCUAAUAUAGCCUAUACACAACAUAUCAUAUAUAUAUAUAUAUAUAUAUAUAUAUAUAUAUAUAUAUAUAUAUAUAUAUAUAUAGCAUGUUUGAAAACUCGUUGAGGAUGGAGAAAUCAUGUCUGGGAUGUGUAAGCUACAACUAUUAGCUUCUUAAAAUCACAUCUAGAACAUGAAAAGUCGUAUCCGAAACAUGAAACCAAACAUGUUAAUCAUCCUAUCUACUUUUUCUUCGUGUUUGCUAGUUGUGGCUUUCCAUUUUUUUUUUUCAAAGUCUAUUGAUCAGCGUGUGAAUCUUGUACGUGCAUAGAGGGUUAACUUCUCGUUAUUCCUUCCUUUCCGUGUUCUUUAAAUUGUAAGGUUAGAGUGUUGCAAUAAAUUAAUAAAUAAGUUCCCGAUAUGCUUGCUUGUCUACGCAAGGGAACCAAAGAUGAUGAACUGUGUUAUUUGUUUGAUUGAGAAAUGAUCAUUAUAUGACAAAUAAUCGUUUGGAAAAUUAAUAAAUAUGUUGGGCACGUUUAUGAAGGGGGUCACUGAUGUAAUAGUACCAGAUUACGUAUGCAGGGGCUGAACAAAUAUGCUUGCUGGAUGCUGUGAGAUUUUAUAUAUGCUGCGUCAAUAGUUUAGGAGCUGGAGCAGAUUAUAUGUGUGUUGUGGGAUUUUGCAGGGUAGUGGUUCAUAAUGUAAAAGGGUUUGGUUACCCAUAUACCCUCUAUUAUAUAAAAUUUAUUUGGAUCAUAUAAAAAAAAUCCUUCUUAAUUUAUUUUUGCCCUUUCCUUUUGUAUUUUUGAAGAAUGAGAUCACCAACUGAUCAAAUAAAUUACUCGGCCGUUCUAUUUUACUAUCGUCCAAUUCCCUCGUCCCCAAAAAGAGGUCACUAACUGGCGACAUCCAAUUUAGUCCUCUAUUAAGGAGGAAAAAGCUGCAUACGAUUCGUUACCUUUUUUUACCAUGCAUGGUAUGAUCUAUUUAAGCCAUGCAUAAUAAUAAAAUUGUAUUUCAAGGUGUAUCUUUCGACUUAGUAGUGUUUUAGAUUUUGAUAAAGAUUAGACCGUGGACAUUAAGAAAUAGAGUUUAAUAUUCUUUUUCUGAUUCAAGUAUUGGUUGAAAAUGUAUAUUACGGGACGACAUAUUACUAAUCAAGUGUUAGUUGAAAAUGUCGGGAACACAAGAGAGUCCAUCAUAUUAUUAGUAACUUGUUGAACCAUGCAUUUCCCCUCAAUUUAAGAGAUCAAUGGAAGAAAAAACCAUCGACAUUCAAAUUACUUUUCCCGGUUAUAGUGACAAUAUAAUAAAUAAUAUAAACAAAUAAUAUAUUUUGAAUCACCUUAAUAUUAAAUGUAAAAUAUUUAUUUAUUUUAUUAAUGAUUAUUCUCCUUUAGAUAACCUUACAGGUCACCCAUUAAAUCUCUCUUUCCAUUUUUUUUAAUUAUAAGAUUUGAACUUCAAAUCCUACUUAAGGAAUUUAAAUCUAAUUUUACUCAAAUUAAUAACAUUUGUUAUUCAAACAUAUGAUGUAUUGAUUGUAUACAUAUUUUUAUAUAUUAAAAUUAUGCACAUCUAUAAAAUUUAUAUGACUAAAUUAUUGUUUUAAUUUUUUAUUUAUAGUUUUGGAGUCGGCAAAUAGAAAAUGGAGGAUUAUAUGGAGUGCUGUAUCUUGUGUUAUAUGGAACUGGAGGAACAACAUGGUGCUUAGAGGUGCAACCUUUCACCGGGAUAAAGUAAUCUAUGAAAUACUCUUUCAAAGCUGGUCGUGGAAUAGAUAGAUCUAGUGAGCACAGGAUUUUAGCUCCUUUGUACCGUGGGAAAUUGGUCCUGGGGAAUGCUUGUUAAUUUGAAAGGUAUCUUUAUUUUUGGCCUGAGUUCGUGGUGCUGAAAGCUGCGUAUCAGAUGCUUGUAGGAUUGCUUGGUGGAUUGUUUAUGGUCUGCUGCGGUUUGGCUGGAGUUGGUCCUUGUGGUGAGGUGCUGCUGUAUUUAGAGGUCAGGGGCGUUGGUGUUUGCUUGGUUAUGCCACUGGUUGGUUACGUGUGACUAGAAAUAUAUAUAUUGGGUAUAUGAUGGUCUUUAAUUUUCAUAGCUUCAAUCUUUUGAGUAUGCAAUUGUUCCUUGUACGUAUACUUCAAGCUUCAGGACUGUUUGAAGCAUAUAUAUUUUAGGUGAUUUUUGGUUCAGCUUUGUGGUUGGAUUUUCCUUUGUAUUAGCCACAAAGGACAUGUAUGUUUUAUUCUAUGUCAUGGCCCUACUUGUGCUGCUAUCUUAAUAAUAUAUGAGGUUCCAUUUGAUUAUUGAAAAAAAUAUUUUAAUUACCUUUUUUUAUUUAAUCGAUGUAAGUUGAUUUCUUUAUAAUAAAAGUUUUAAUUUAAUUCUUUAAUUUUCAAAAUCAUGUCAAAUUUUGUUAUUUUCAUCUAAUUGAUCAAAAUAUAUAAUCAUCAAAAUGGGUUACAAUCGACAAGCCACCCGAUCCAUCACAAAUUUGAAUCAGGUUGGAUUAUUUUUUUUCCAUUUCAUUUAUGUAUAAAAUAUGACCCACCUGACCUGUGCUGGGCUAUGUUGACUAGCGAACCAAAGACAUGUUAAUGCUACAAAAAAAACUCACUAGUCACACAGCACAACAAUUAUGAUUAGGCUUGACCUUUUUUUUCACUCUUUUUUCUUGAUUAAGUUAUUAUUCUUGCUUUCUUAUUAUUAAUUAGGCAAUUUUUUUUUUCCUUUUGAGCAACCCAUCUUCGACUGACUUGACCCACUUUGACAGCUAUAGGUGUUAGUGAAAUCUGACACGUGCCACUUUUACUCGUUUUAGCCACCAAUGCCAUUCUAAUCAAUUAAACAUAAAUGAUAAUAUUGAUGUAAUUUUUAAAAUUAAGGAAUUAGCUUAAAUUUUUAACAAUAAAAAGACCAAAUUGAAUAUAUAAAAUAAAAAUUGAGAAAAAAAGAGUAUUUUAGCCUAUUUAUAUUAAUAGUUUAAUUUUCGUAAAAAAAAUGCAUACAUAGACUAAUUCAAAACUUAUUUAUUAGAGUUUUAUUUUUGUUUAAUGAAGUGAUUUAAUAGUCAUUAUUUGCUUCUAUGAUUUUUGAAUAAAAAAUCUAUCAAUUAUUUUUUUAUACUUUACUUGAAAGAAUAAAAGUUAUUAUAUAUCAUCUAAAUUUUUGUUAUUAUUUUUAAAUAAGGUUUUAUUUUAAUGACCGUUUUUAUUUUAACAUAUGCAGUAUUACUAGAUUGUCGAAAUAAAUAUCUAAUUUUAAUUAAAAAAAACCUUUAAGAAACUAACGUACCGUUUGAUUUGAGUGUUUUUUUUUUCUAAAAAUAAUUUUCAUUUUCAAAUUUUUAAGAUUUAUAAAGCAUAUAUCAAAAAUAAAAUACUCUAUGGUGUUUUCAUUUCUUCAUAAAAAUUAAAAAUAUUGAUAUGUUGUUUUUAAUUUUGUGCCUAUUUUUAAAAAUAUUUUCAAAAAAAUACUUUCAAAAUUCUAAACAAAUGUAGUUUUAUUAUUAUUUUUUAUUUUCUUUAAAAAUAAAAACAGAAAACACUCCCAUCAAACACCACCGAAUUCUAAUUAGUUUUAAAUUAAUAAUUUAAUCGUUGCUAGUAUAGGCAAAAUAGCUAGUUGUAAUGUAAGGAUUUGAUUAAACAUGUAAUAAUUGCUGUUGGCCUAUUAGUUAAUGGUAAUGUGAGGGUUUGGCAGGCUGUCGGGAUAUACAUCAUCAUCAUUUUUUUUAACAGAGUUAUCGAUCGGAGUACUCUAGAAGGUCCAAAUUUAAAACAAAAUGGAUUUUCAAUCUUAUAGAGCUACACGAGAAUAAAUGCUAGUAAAGUUAUAAAUUGAAACUUAAUUAAAUAUACUGAAUAUAUAUACAUAUAUAAUAUAUCAUAAAAUUGAUCAAUUUUGUUAAUUUUUAUCGAUGAUAAUAUUUUUGUUUAAAUUUAAUUUUUAUAUGAUGUCAGUGUAAUUUUUUUAUAUUAACUAGUUAAAAAUUAUUCUACAUAAUUAUUAUAAAAAUUAACGAGCUCAUCAUUAAAAAUUUAAUGCAUUACAAUUAAAUUCUUCCUACUUUGUUGUUUAAAAUUUUAAAUCCAACCAAAUUGCUAUUGGCUCUAAUCUUAAAUGUAAAUAAAAAAAUAACUCAUAUAUAGUUAUUUAAAACAAAUAAAUUUUAACUUUUUUAAAAAAAAUUCUCCAAAACAUUUUUUUAUUUAAAUUUUAUCUCAAUAACCUCUUUAAUUCUCGUGAUAUGAAUUGCAUGACUUUCAGAAAGAAAGAAAAAAUUUCAAUAAAAAAAAGUUUCUAUUAAAAUAAUGUUUUAUAACAAUUAGCGUGUGAAGAGUAGUUUGAAUAAUGGACAUUAUUUUUUUAACAAAAUACAGAAAAUUAAAUAAAUUAAAACUCACUAAACUAUUCUGAAACAAUCAUCAUAUCCUUCAUCCGAGUGAAAUUUAACUUAAAUUUUUUAACUAAAAUAUGAAAUUUAAUAAUUGUCGCAAAAAAUUAUUUUUGGUGUAGUGACACUUUGUAGAUGAAAGAAAGUAAAGAAAUAAUUGAGAUGGGAGACUCUCAUAAAAGUGAAUCAUUCAUAUUAUUUAACAAAAAAAUUAAUUGUUAGUAAAAUAAAUGAAUAUUUGGUACUGAUAAUAUCAUAAAAAUUACCAUGAAUGUUUUUGAACAUAAAAAAUAGUAAAGAAUAUCUUACAUGAUGAUUUUGUAGAGAAGUUGUGGUCAAUUUACAGCCACAAUUAGUGAUACUUAGAAAUGGGACCCGCUAUUCCACGUGCAAAAGUUAGCAAUUGCAUAAUUCUGGGGGCUCCAACGAUCUUACGGUCGCGGAAUCAAGUUGCCCAACGGAUGCAAAACUUUGCUUCCCGCAGAUCCACCGAUUGAUGACAGUCCCUACAUCAACAAGUCACGAGCAUCCAAAAGUUAAGGACUUAAUUUUUCGCCAGCUAAAAUUCGAUCUCAUGUUCAUACAUCAUUAUUUCAUUAGCUUCAUAUUUAUUUAUAAAAUAAAUUAUGUUUAUUUUUUAUUGUCAAAAAUCAAAUACUGUACUUAAGGUAUUAUAUGUCUUUAUUCUUAAUUAAAAUUAGCAUUUCAUCUAGAUAAUUAUUCUUAAUUUUAGUUAUAAAUAAUAGUAAUUAUUAAAAUAAAAUUUUCAUUUUAUUGAAAAAUCACUCCAAUUAUUUUUAUAAUACCAUAUCUAGAUUUAAUUUAUUUUUAAGAGAAAAAUCACUCUCAUGCAUGCAUUCAUAUGUUCCUUUUAUCGGUAAUAUAUAAUACUUUUUUAUAUUUUUUAUUAAUAAAACUAAUCUAUCAUUAAUUAUAUCAAUUUUGUAAAUGUCUUUUAAUUUAAGCUUUAUAUUUUACCUAUAUCGUACAUAUAUAAUACAAGAACUACUUGCUAAUUUUUUAAUAGACUCCUCAUCAUAACCCCCUUCACUUCAAAACACCAUGAGCACUAUAUAAACUACCUUCCACAGCAAAUUACUCCCAUCCUCACAAACACUCUUCUCCUAAGCUCUAGCACUUAACUAGCAAUAUUAAUUAGCAUUUGCUAGAGAGACUAGGAGUAUAAACAUACCCCAGUUUAAGAUGGCUUCAAAAACUUGUUCCUCCCUUGCCCUUUUCCUCACACUCAACCUCAUUUUCUUCUCACUUGUUUCUGCAUGCGGUUAUACACCAUGCCCUGGUCCAAACCCAAAGCCAAGGCCCAACCCCAACCCUAACCCUAACCCUAGCCCAAGUGGCUCCUGCCCCCGUGAUGCACUCAAACUAGGUGUAUGCGCCAAUGUGCUAAACUUGGUGAACGUCACUUUGGGUCAACCACCAGUUACCCCUUGCUGCAC
Molecule: long non-coding RNA, 6222 nt
Filed under: Glycine max (soybean)
Lineage: Eukaryota; Viridiplantae; Streptophyta; Magnoliopsida; Fabales; Fabaceae
Description: long non-coding RNA (GMAX_LNC000981)
Source: RNAcentral